Molecule: ribosomal RNA, 625 nt
Filed under: uncultured bacterium
Lineage: Bacteria
Description: bacterial SSU rRNA
Rfam family: Bacterial small subunit ribosomal RNA
Source: RNAcentral
GAUGAACGCUGGCGGCGUGCUUAACACAUGCAAGUCGAGCGAGAAGACUUUGACAGAUCCUUCGGGUGAUGGAAAAGUUGGAAAGCGGCGGACGGGUGAGUAACGCGUGGGCAACCUGCCCCAUACAGGAGGAUAGCCACUGGAAACGGUGAUUAAUACUCCAUAAGACCACAGCACCACAUGGUGCAGAGGUAAAAACUCCGGUGGUAUGGGAUGGGCCCGCGUCUGAUUAGCUAGUUGGUAAGGUAACGGCUUACCAAGGCGACGAUCAGUAGCCGACCUGAGAGGGUGAUCGGCCACACUGGAACUGAGACACGGUCCAGACUCCUACGGGAGGCAGCAGUGGGGAAUAUUGCACAAUGGGCGAAAGCCUGAUGCAGCAACGCCGCGUGAACGAUGAAGGCCUUCGGGUUGUAAAGUUCUUUUCUUGGAGAAGAAUAACUGACGGUAUCCAAGGAAUAAGCCCCGGCUAACUACGUGCCAGCAGCCGCGGUAAUACGUAGGGGGCAAGCGUUAUCCGGAAUCACUGGGCGUAAAGGGAGUGUAGGCGGUCAAGCAAGUCAGAGGUGAAAGGCAUCGGCUCAACCGGUGUAAGCCUUUGAAACUGUUUGACUUGAGUGCAGGA